GGAAAUAUCCCUCUGCAGUGAGAACUGCCCUGCCCCCAGCCAGGGAAACAAGUGUGGAAAAGCCAAUGGUCAUCAACCAGUCAGUCCCUAGUCCAGGAUGAGGGCCCAGAUUCCAGGCUGGGAAGGAAGCUGGCAGUGAGGAGCAUUUGGAUGGAUCCCACCAUAGGGAUCAGUUGUGAUACAAAGGACAUGGUCCAGGUCUGCAGAUAGGUUAGCAAGAUAUUUGAGAGCAACAGGAAACUGCUCUACUCUGUGACCUUGCUGGGAAGCUGAAUGAGCUGGGGCGACGUGUCUCCCACGAGGGAGGAUGGUGGCCUGUGCCGACAGCAGCAGGUCCUGCCUGAAGCCUGGAGCACAAGCUCCAUACUGACUUCUACACAUCAGUGUCUGGCACCCAGUAAGUCCCUACUUGUGUCUCCAAGACAGCUUCUGCUUACCUCAUCAUACACUUGCAUUACCUGCAGCCCCUGUCUCCCUUCAAACAUUCAAUCUCUGUUCCAUGCUGGGAGCAGCAAGGAAAGACUGCUUCCAGAGGGGUGGGAAGCCAGGCAGCAAGGGCUUGAAGUCCACAGGGUGAAGUCCACAGGACCUGAGGAAGACUUUGUAGUAAAGAACAAAAGAAACUCAUACGCCAAAUCAUGAAGCCAAGAUUCAGAUAAGGAAAGGUUGAAGGACUGCAGAAAAAAUUAAAAAGUUGCAAAA
Long non-coding RNA from Pipra filicauda (Wire-tailed manakin), 702 nucleotides. RefSeq lists it as uncharacterized. NCBI's taxonomy places the organism in Eukaryota, Metazoa, Chordata, Aves, Passeriformes, Pipridae. The transcript has 4 exons. The record is from RefSeq and is a predicted model, not a curated record.